This 575-nucleotide ribosomal RNA is filed under the name Loigolactobacillus coryniformis subsp. torquens. RNAcentral's name for it is "bacterial SSU rRNA". It matches the Rfam family "Bacterial small subunit ribosomal RNA", at positions 302 to 868 of the family's 1533-position model. The record is from RNAcentral. Lineage: Bacteria; Bacillati; Bacillota; Bacilli; Lactobacillales; Lactobacillaceae.
AAUCGGCCACAUUGGGACUGAGACACGGCCCAAACUCCUACGGGAGGCAGCAGUAGGGAAUCUUCCACAAUGGACGAAAGUCUGAUGGAGCAACGCCGCGUGAGUGAAGAAGGUUUUAGGAUCGUAAAACUCUGUUGUUGGAGAAGAACAGGGACUAGAGUAACUGUUAGUCCUUUGACGGUAUCCAACCAGAAAGCCACGGCUAACUACGUGCCAGCAGCCGCGGUAAUACGUAGGUGGCAAGCGUUGUCCGGAUUUAUUGGGCGUAAAGCGAGCGCAGGCGGUUUUUUAAGUCUGAUGUGAAAGCCUUCGGCUUAACCGAAGAAGUGCAUUAGAAACUGGGAAACUUGAGUGCAGAAGAGGACAGUGGAACUCCAUGUGUAGCGGUGAAAUGCGUAGAUAUAUGGAAGAACACCAGUGGCGAAGGCGGCUGUCUGGUCUGUAACUGACGCUGAGGCUCGAAAGUAUGGGGAGCGAACAGGAUUAGAUACCCUGGUAGUCCAUACCGUAAACGAUGAAUGCUAAGUGUUGGAGGGUUUCCGCCCUUCAGUGCUGCAGCUAACGCAUUAAGCAUU